This 376-nucleotide ribosomal RNA is filed under the name uncultured eukaryote. Its description in RNAcentral is "SSU rRNA". It matches the Rfam family "Eukaryotic small subunit ribosomal RNA", at positions 592 to 965 of the family's 1831-position model. The record is from RNAcentral.
CAAUAGCGUAUAUUAAAGUUGUUGCGGUUAAAAAGCUCGUAGUUGGAUUUCUGCUGAGGACGACCGGUCCGCCCUCCGGGUGAGCAUCUGGUUCGGCCUUGGCAUCUUCUUGGUGAACGUAUCUGCACUUGACUGUGUGGUGCGGUACCCAGGACUUUUACUUUGAGGAAAUUAGAGUGUUUCAAGCAGGCAUACGCCUUGAAUACAUUAGCAUGGAAUAAUAAGAUAGGACCUCGGUUCUAUUUUGUUGGUUUCUAGAGCUGAGGUAACGAUUAAUAGGGGAUAGUUGGGGGCAUUGCGUAUUUCAUUGUCAGUAGGUGAAAUUCUUGGAAUUUUGUUAAAUGACUAGACUACUGCGAAAGCAUUUGCCAAGGAU